This 58-nucleotide transfer RNA is filed under the name Parantropora penelope. RNAcentral's name for it is "tRNA-Val". Lineage: Eukaryota; Metazoa; Bryozoa; Gymnolaemata; Cheilostomatida; Antroporidae. The record is from RNAcentral.
GAUGUAAAUUAUGCUCAUUCUUACAAGAUGGGUUAGUCAAGGAAUUUGACUUACAUUA